RNAcentral lists this unclassified non-coding RNA (1437 nucleotides) under Lucilia cuprina (Australian sheep blowfly). RNAcentral's name for it is "protein trunk, transcript variant X5". The record is from RNAcentral. Lineage: Eukaryota; Metazoa; Arthropoda; Insecta; Diptera; Calliphoridae.
UUUUAGCAAAAAACAUUUUAGUACUGAGAUCCAAAAGAGUACCCUCUGAAAUAUUUUUUGAUACUUAAACAAAGUCCCCUUUUCCAUCCCUGGUAACGAUAUAGCACAGCUGGGUUUUUUAAAUAAAAGUAACAAAAACCACAGAAAAAUUUUGACAACCCUUUAACAAAAACAACAGACAAUUGUUAUCAUACCGGUUGCUGAAUAUAGAAACAAUUGCUUGUGGCUGUUGCAAUUAUUGUUGCCACUUUAUUAAUAAAUACACUUUAAAUACAGAUAUGUAGGCCACUCUGUAAUUGAAAUACGAAGUAAUUGGGAAUAUUGUGUUUUCAAAAGUUCUGUUUUAGUAGAACAAAUGAAAUAUAUUUUGCAAUUGUACCUGGUUAUGGGAUUUACGUUUAAAAUAAUAUCUACAAAUUAUUGCAAACAAUUAUCUACAAAAUCACUUACCAAAAUUCAUGGACAGGCAUUUAAUCCUCGUUAUAUGAGCAUUGAACCACCAACAUCUAAUCAUGAUGCUAGUAGCAAACGCUCUUCUUACGAAUUACCAUUUUAUGCUGAUGAUGAUGUUGUAUCUGUAGGAGAUUUUCCAGCAUGGGAAACGGAACAUGUGAACUUUUACGAAAAAAAAAAAGAGUCAACUUUAAAACAGAGAAGCAUACGUAUUACAAAUAUUUUUAAUGAUCGCACCAUUGCAAAGUCUGAUGUAUUUAAAACUCGACCGUGGGAAUGCUCCUCUAAGCUUGCAUGGAUAGACCUUGGUCUACACUAUUUUCCUAGAUAUAUACGUUCUGUUGAGUGCAUUUCCAAAAAAUGUUGGUAUGGUAAUUUUAACUGCAAAGCUAAAUCGUUUACUAUAAAAAUAUUGAAAAGAAAAAAUGGAUCAUGUAUUCGAAUAAGUGAAAAAUUGCUUAUGGUUGUAUUAGAAGAAUUUGAUUCCGAUUAUACUGAAUUAUGGGUAUGGGAAGAAAUUUCAAUAAAUUUUUGUUGUGAUUGUGUAAUGCUACGUUGAUGCCAUAUAAAGUUUUUUGGUCCGCUGGGAAUAUAAAAUUCCCAGGUGGUGGACAAUCUGUCCUCCCUCAGCUUCAGUCAACUAAAACAGGAUAGGAUAGAUGAUCCAUCACCACCGCCACCCGGGGACGCGCUCUGUAGGAAAUACUGGAAAACUUCCCAUUUAAUAAUAGAUGGUGCUAUAUUACAGCCAAAGAAUUUUCCUGGACUAGCUCGCUGGCCCCUACAAUCGUCCAGAAGUGACUACAAUCCACACUUCCAGAUAAAUAAAAUACAACAUGUGAAAACUCUUCAAACUCUCUUUCUUGUCACCAGUCGGGAAGAACUGAUGCCGAGCUGGGGAAUCUCUAAGAGUAACGUGGAAGAAAAUUCUGGAAGACCCGCAGAACAAAUUUCUAGAUGUUUUCUUUUCUUCUAUUUGUAUGC